RNAcentral lists this ribosomal RNA (450 nucleotides) under uncultured bacterium. RNAcentral describes it as "partial 16S ribosomal RNA". It matches the Rfam family "Bacterial small subunit ribosomal RNA", at positions 354 to 796 of the family's 1533-position model. The record is from RNAcentral.
GUGGGGAAUAUUGGACAAUGGGCGAAAGCCUGAUCCAGCCAUGCCGCGUGCAGGAAGAAGGCCUUCGGGUUGUAAACUGCUUUUGUACGGAACGAAACGGUCCUGGCUAAUAUCCGGGGCUAAUGACGGUACCGUAAGAAUAAGCACCGGCUAACUACGUGCCAGCAGCCGCGGUAAUACGCAGGGUGCGAGCGUUAAUCGGAAUUACUGGGCGUAAAGCGCGCGUAGGUGGUUUUGUAAGUUGGAGGUGAAAUCCCCGGGCUCAACCUGGGAACUGCCGCCAAAACUGCAUGACUAGAGUACGGUAGAGGGUAGUGGAAUUUCCUGUGUAGCGGUGAAAUGCGUAGAUAUAGGAAGGAACACCAGUGGCGAAGGCGACUACCUGGACUGAUACUGACACUGAGGUGCGAAAGCGUGGGGAGCAAACAGGAUUAGAUACCCGAGUAGUCC